UAUACCUCUGCUUCUGCUAUU
This 21-nucleotide unclassified non-coding RNA is filed under the name Influenza A virus. RNAcentral describes it as "3' end of the vRNA promoter from Influenza A virus (PDB 9F37, chain R)". The record is from RNAcentral. RNAcentral also lists the same sequence under 3 other names. Lineage: Riboviria; Orthornavirae; Negarnaviricota; Insthoviricetes; Articulavirales; Orthomyxoviridae.